UACAGAGGUCUCAAGCGUUGUUCGGAUUCAUUGGGCGUAAAGGGUGUGUAGGUGGCGCGCUAAGUCGGGUGUGAAAUUUCGGAGCUUAACUCCGAAACUGCAUUCGAUACUGGAGUGCUUGAGGACUGGAGAGGAGACUGGAAUUUACGGUGUAGCAGUGAAAUGCGUAGAUAUCGUAAGGAAGACCAGUGGCGAAGGCGGGUCUCUGGACAGUUCCUGACACUGAGACACGAAGGCCAGGGGAGCAAACGGG
Molecule: ribosomal RNA, 253 nt
Filed under: uncultured bacterium
Lineage: Bacteria
Description: partial 16S ribosomal RNA
Rfam family: Bacterial small subunit ribosomal RNA
Source: RNAcentral